This 254-nucleotide ribosomal RNA is filed under the name uncultured bacterium. Its description in RNAcentral is "partial 16S ribosomal RNA". It matches the Rfam family "Bacterial small subunit ribosomal RNA", at positions 524 to 776 of the family's 1533-position model. The record is from RNAcentral.
GACGAACCGUGCGAACGUUGUUCGGAAUCACUGGGCUUAAAGGGCGCGUAGGCGGGCUGCCAAGUCUGGGGUGAAAUCCCACGGCUCAACCGUGGAACUGCCUCGGAUACUGGCGGUCUCGAGGGAGGUAGGGGCAUGCGGAACUGUGGGUGGAGCGGUGGAAAUGCGUUGAUAUCCACAGGAACUCCGGUGGCGAAAGCGGCGUGCUGGACCUCUUCUGACGCUGAGGCGCGAAAGCUAGGGGAGCAAACGGG